Molecule: ribosomal RNA, 364 nt
Filed under: uncultured Glomeromycotina
Lineage: Eukaryota; Fungi; Glomeromycota
Description: bacterial SSU rRNA
Rfam family: Eukaryotic small subunit ribosomal RNA
Source: RNAcentral
AGCAGCCGCGGUAAUUCCAGCUCCAAUAGCGUAUAUUAAAGUUGUUGCAGUUAAAAGCUCGUAGUUGAACCUUAGGCCCGUGCGGGCGGUCCGUCCUCAGGGCGAGCACUGCCUCGUCGCGGGUCUCACCUUCUGGCGAGCGUGGAUGCCAUUCAUUUGGUGUCCGCGGGAACCAGGACCUUUACCUGAAAAAUUGAGUGCUCAAAGCGGGCUCCGACGCUUGAAUACAUUAGCAUGGAAUAAUGAAAUAGGACGAUGGUUCUAUUUUGUUGGUUUCUGGGACCGUCGUAAUGAUUAAUAGGGAUAGUUGGGGGCAUUCGUAUUCAAUUGUCAGAGGUGAAAUUCUUGGAUUUAUUGAAGACGA